GGGCCCGGCUGUCCCGCUUGGGCGUCCUCAGUGGAACCGCACACCCUUUCUCAGCGCGCCGGUCGUUUGGUCCUGUAGGGCCGAGGGGAAUUCGUGCGGUGUUGAGCACGCGGGAAGCACUUAACGAAAGGGAGCUGCCCCUCAGCCCUCGUGAGUCCGAUGUAAAGGAGUGAAGGAGACGAAGAACUGAAUCAGUAGUUGACCGCCUGUGAGCUGGCGAGCUGUGCCCUGGUAGGGCCUUAAAUCCCAGCCCCAGAAGUCGGAGGCAGGGCAGGCACCCCAAAGCGUGGAAGAGAUGCACCUGCGGAGUGAAAAUGCUGCUAUUGCUUCUAGGGUCAGCCUUGGUUCCUGGAACAAAGGAGCCGCAUGACUCGGGUCUGGCGAUGAUGUUGGGCUCUGCAGUGUCCUCAUCCUUCCCCCUCUCUGGGUAAUGAUAUCUUCCCAGGGUUUAAAGUGUGUCCUCUCUGCCAGUAGCUUGUCUCCACAGCCUCAUCUUUAAUUCCACCUGCCCCACCCAUUUUGGACACUGCAGCCAAGUUGCAGCAGAUCCGCAAACCUGGUAAUCCCUCACUUGAAAGUGCUGGAGGCUUUAGGAUGGGGUUCAGGGCCUGUGCAAUCUAACCGCCUGCUUUUUUUUUUUUUUUUUUUUUUUUUUUUUUGAGACGGAGUCGAAUCUCACUGUCUCCCAGGCUGGAGUGCAGUGGCGCCAUCACAGCUCAUUGCAGCCUCAACCUCCUGAGCUCAAGCCAUCCUCCCACCUCAGCCUCCCAAGUACCUGGGGUUACAGGCAAGCACCAUUACGCCUAGCUAAUUUUUCUGGGUUUUUUUUUUUUGUUUUUUUUUUUGUAUAGAUGGAUUUCGCCAUGUUGUCCAGGCUGGUCUUAAACUCUCGCUCUGUCUCCCAGGCUAGAGUGCAGUGGGGCAAUCUCGGCUCCCUGCAACCUCUGCCUCCUGGGUUCAAGCAAUUAUCCUGCCUCAGCCUACCAGUUAGCUGGGAUUACAUGUGUGCGCCACCGCGCCCGGCUAAUUUUUUUAUUUUUAGUAGAGGCGGGGUUUCACCAUGUUGACCAGGCUGGUCUCAAGACUACUGACCUCAAGUGAUCCCCCCCCCCCCCCGCCUCGGCCUCCCAAAGUGCUGGGAUUACAGACGUGAGCCACCGUGCCCAGCGGUUUUGCAUUUUCAAUUGUGGGGCACGGUGAGAAAAGACUUGAAGAAAGCAAGGGAGUGAGAUCCAUGGAAAUGUAGGGGGGAACCUUGCAGGCCUAUGGAACAGCCAGUGCAAAGGGCCUGGGGUGGGAGCUGCCUCAGGGUAGCCAGGAUGGCAGGAGGCACAGCUGCCGAGAGGAAGCAGGGGCCAGGUCCUGCAAGGUUAGAGGCCAUUGCUACUCCUGAACACAUUGGCAGGUUUUGAGCAGAGAAGUGACAUGAUUUUAGUUUUCUCAGGAUCCCUCUGGCUGCUGUGUGGAGGAAGAGGGGAGGGUGAGAGCAGGGAUACCUCUUAGGAGGCUGUGGUAGUAAUCCCAGGGAGCCAGGAUGGGAGCAGAGGAGGGGACAGGAAUUGGAUUCUGGAUGCAUUUUGGAGGGAGCAUGAAGGAAAGCGGGGUCAAAGGUUCCUCUGAGGCCUUGGCUGCCUCUCUUAUUCAUCUACAUCCAUUCUGUCAAGGACACCUUUCAUUUCUUCUUGGCACUGUCUCAAGGCCACCACGCUGCUGCCCACCUGACCAGCAGUGGCCUUUCCAGGCCUUCCAUCUUCUCCCCAGCAGCUUAUCUCUGCGUAGCCAGGUCCCAUUUCCCACACACCUUUUUUUAAAGUGUGUUGCACUGCUCUGGGUGCAGGACUGUAGCAGUGACCAGGGCAGCUCCAGAUGAAGCUUCUGCUCACAGGAACCUUUUCUACUGAAACAGAUGAUACCUAAACUCUCAGCUGUGUGACUUUAAGCAACUUGCACAACCUCUCUGUACUUCAGUUGCCUCCAUCUUCAAAUGGGGAUUAAAAAGUGUUGACAUCAUAGUGGUUGUGAGGAUUACAUGAUUUGAUAGUUUAUAAAGCACUUAGAACUUGUGAAGAAGAGUGCCUGGGGAUUGCCUAAGGUCAGGAGUUCAAGACCAGCCUGGCCAACAUGGAGAAACCUCAUCUCUGCUAAAAAUACAAAAACUAACCACGCAUGGUAGUGCACACCUCUAGUCCCAGCUACUUGGGGGGCUGAGGCAGGAGAAUCACUUGAACCUGGGAGGUGGAGAUUGCAGUGAGCCAAGAUUGCGCCACUGCACUCCAGCCUGGGCAACAGAGCAAGACUCGGUCUCCAAAGAAAAAAAAAGAACUGCCUGGCUACGGAAUAAGAACUACAUGGAGUUAUUAAAUCAAAAUCGGUGCACAAAUGAUAAUUCUUAAGAGUGAGUGCUACAGAGAACACAAAAGGCAAGGCACAGAGAGAUGACCUGGGAGGCAGGGAAGGAAAGCAUUCCCAGAGGUGAGUGGUUAGUGAAGGCUUGUCAGAGAUGGGACGAGGAGAAGCCUAGGGGGCACAGAAGAUGCAAAGGUGCUGAGGCCAGGGCAAAUUCAGAAUUUUUUUUUUUUUUGAGAUGGAGUCUCGCUCUGUCUCCCAGGCUGGAGUUCAGUGGUGCAAUCUCGGCUCACUGCAACCUCCACCUCCUGGGUCCAAGCAAUUAUCUGCCUCAGCCUCCAGAGUAGCUGGGAUUACAGGCAUCCACCACCACGCCCGGCUAAUUUUUGUGUUUUCAGUAGAGACAGGAUUUCACCAUCUUGGCCAGGCUGGUCUUGAACUCCUGGCCUCAUGAUCCACAUGCCUCAGCCUCCCAAAGUGCUGGGAUUACAGGCGUGAGCCACCGCGCCCAACCCAGAAUUCUCUUUUUUUGGGGGGGGGUGGGGGACAGAGUCUCACUCUGUCAUCCAGGCUGGAGUGCAGUAGCGCGAUCUUAGCUCACUGCAACCUCUGCCUCCCAGGUUCAAGCGAUUCUGCCUCAGCCUCCCGAGUAACUGGGAUUAUAGAUGCCCGCCACUACGCCUGGCUAAUUUUUUUUUUUUUUUUGUAUUUUUAGUAGAGAUGGGGUUUUACCAUGUUGGCCAGGCUGGUCUCAAACUCAUUACCUCCAGUGAUCCACCUGCCCUGGCCUGCCAAAGUGUUGGGAUUACACAGGCGUGAGCCACCAUGCCUGGCCCUGGCCCAGAAUUUUCAAGAAAUCUAAGGAAGGCUUUUUUGUGCUCUAAGUGUCCUUGUCUGUAAGGUAGGGGGGAUAAAGUGCCCUUGACUUCCCAAGGUUACUAUGCAGAUUGAACAAUAUAAUCCUCCCGGGUUGGCCUUGAGUCUUGUCAGACCUGAAGCUUAUGACAAUUUGAGAGCUCGCUUUGAGAAAAGAAACACAAAAAAUGAGGUGUGUGGCUUUAGAAGGAGCACAAAUGGGGUCCCCGAUGUUUAAGCUGCUUUAGUGUUACAGUAAAGCCACCUCUGAAUACCCAGAAGUGUUAGCUCUUACAACUUCCACCAACUCAGUCUUCUCCAAGCCUCUUGGUGGACUCAGAGGAGGACAGGGAGGCAGCCACUCUGGCCGGCCAGGGCCCUCCUCCCAGGUCCCUGGAACACAGGCGCACCAACCACAGCUGCGUCCUGGCCUGGGCAUCACGUGACGUCCCAGAGUGAUUCACGCUGCUAUUUCAGUGCUGCUGCAGUCAAGGGUAGGGAGAGGCAUGGCGAGGCUGUAUCUGGAGUCAGCUUGGAGGCCGUAGUUCCUGCAGCAGUGGCACUGAAGGUACAGCGAGGGUGACUGAGUCUCAGCAGAGCAAAUUCCCAACUUUAAAGUUUUCUCAAUAUCAGAAAAACUAGGAGAGCUGGAUCUCAGUAGUCUCUUUCUGUCACCCGGUCUGGAGUGAAGUGGCGCAGUCUCAGCUCUCUGCAACCUCUGCCUCCCAGGUUCAAGCAAUUCUUCUGCCUCAGCCUCCCAAGUAGCUGGGAUUACAGGUAUGUGCCACCAUGCCUGGCUAAUUUUUGUAUUUUUAGUAGAGAUGCGUUAUUUCCAUGUUGGCCAGGCUGGUCUCGAACUACUGACCUCAGGUGAUCCACUCGCCUCGGCCUCCCAAAGUGCUGAGAUUAUAGGCAUGAGCCACUGCGCCCGGCCGAGGCAAUGGUUUUCAGCUAGGGUGUCCCCAGCUGUCAUUUGGCAAUGUCUGGAGACAUUUGGGUUGUCAUAACUGAGUGUGUGUGUGUGUUUGUGUGCACAUGCUGUAGUGGCCAAGGAUGCUGCUAAACACCCUACAAGGCACAGAAUAGCCAUCACAAUUAUUUGGCUCCAAAUGUCAAUAGAGCUGAGGGAGAGAAAUAUUAAUAUAAACACAGCAGUUCCUGCACACCGAGGUUGAGGCUCAAGGGUGAAACCUGCCUGCUACAUGGCAAGCAGAUUGCAACUGACCACAGCACAUAAUAUGACACCCAAUGGCAAGAGAACGAUGUCAAGGGUCACUGAGAGAGAUGAAAGAUGGUGCAUAUUCAUUGACACCCCUCUCAUUGCAAAGUGGGAGGUCUGUGUCCCCUCCCCUUGAAUUCCAUGGAGUUGGGACUACUCUGACCAAUAGAAUACAACAGAAAUAACAUCUUGCAGUUUCCAAGCCUUAUAAAACUGGCAGCUUCCACUUCUUGUUUCUUGGGACACACUGCCUUGGAGCCUGUGCUGCCACUGAAGAAGUCUGAGUGCCCUGAGGCCACCAUGGUGUGGGGAAGCCCACGCUAGCCUUGUGGCAAGCCAACUGUUCCGCAACAUAGUGCGGGCUCCAGGUAACAUGAAGGAAGCUGUCUUGGGCCCUCUAGCCCAGCCCAGUCUCCAGCGAAUCCCACUGAGUGACCCUAGUCAAGCCCACAUGGAGCAGAAGAAUCACCUAGCUGAGCCCUGACCCACAAAAUCUUGAGAAGGAAUUAAAUUGCUAUUGUUCCCAGCCAGAAAAGCAAGGUAGCUUAAGGUAGUUUGUUCCACAGCAGUAGGUAACUAGAACAGUCAUGUCCAAGGAUUUGUUCCUGCACUUUCCCCUUCGCCACGUAUGGCAGAAAUUCUCAGGAAUUCUCAUGAGCCAGUGUCAUGCUAGUGCUUGUUGCAUCUGCUCCUCUCCAGCCGCCCCAGCCCACUGAUCCAAGCACUCUGUGAAAUGACUUUUGUGUGUCGACUUCUUCCCACGAGGAAGACGUUUCUUUCAUUGCCAUGUGCUGGACCCCAGUGCAGAGCCCGGGGCAUUGUCAGUGCUUAGUGUUUGUUGAAUGAGCCAAUGGAACUGGUCACCCUCCGCUGCCCUGGGGGUCCCUCAGCCUUUCCCAGAAGGUCCCUUGGACCUUCCCUCUGGGCUUCCUCACUCCCUUUUCUGCUUAUUCUUUUCUGAGCCGAAUUGUUGUAGCCCCUCAGAUCCAAAUGGCCCAACCCCACUGUCUCCUUCCCAGCACCUCUGUUGAGAAAUACCAAGUGGUAGAGAGUGUGCCUGUGUGGACGUGGGUGGGAUACGUGCCUCUUCUACACCGCCCGUAGGAAGGUACGCUUAGCAAUAGCUAUUGAAAACACAAAAGUGAUUCUGCUCUUAGGAAUGUCUCCCGCAGGGACCCUACCCUGGUGGCACAGGACGUCUCACACAGCACUGUCUGGGACAGCAAAAGGGAUGGAAACCACCUGAGUCCAACUAUGGAGGACACUGGAAAACACGAUGCUGCCUCCAUAGGAUGGGAUAUUGGCAAGUGUGAAGAAACAACAUUUGGUUCUGGAGGCUGCAAGCCCAGGUUCAAGGCAUCAGCAGGUGUGGUUUCCUCCGAGGCCUCUCCCCGUGGCUUGCAGAUGGCUGCCUUCUUCCUGCAUCCUCACGUGGUCCCUCCUCUGCACUCCAGCAUCCUUAAUGUCUCUUUGUGUGUCCAACUUUCCGCCCCCCCCCACCCCUUUUUUUUCUGAUGGAGUCCACCCAGACUGGAGUACAGUGGCGUGAUCUCAGCUCACUGCAACCUCCACUUCCUGGGCUCAAGUGAUUCCCCCGCUUCAGCCUCCCGAGUAGCUGGGAUUACAGGCAUGUGCCACCAUGCCUGGCUAAUUUUUGUAUUUUUAAUAGAGAUGGGAUUUCACCAUAUUGGCCAGGCUGGUCUCAAACUCCUGACCUCAAGUGAUCCACCCAUCUCGGCCUCCCAAAGUGUUGAGAUUACAGGUGUGAGCCACUGCGCCCAGCCCCGAACUUUCCUCUUAAAAGGAUAUCAGUCAGGCCAGGCGCAGUGGCUCAUACCUGUAAUCCCUGCACUUUGGGAGGUUGAGGCGGGUGGAUUACUUGAGGUCAGGAGUUGGAGACCAGCCUGGCCAACAUGGUGAAAUCCCGUGUCUACUAAAAAUACAAAAAUUAGCCGGGCGUGGUGGCAGGCGCCUGUAGUCCCAGCCACUCGGGAGGCUGAGGCAGGAGAAUUGCUUGAACCUGGGAGGCAGAGGUUGCAGUCAGCUGAGAUCAUGCUACUGCACUCCAGUCUGGGCAACAGAGCAAGACUCUAUCUCAAAAAAAAAAAAGACACCAGUCAGACUGGAGUAGGGCUCACCCUAAUGGCCUGAUUUUAACUUAAUUACCUCUUUUUUUUUCUUUCUUUUUUUGAGACAGAGUCUCGCUCUGUCACCCAGGCUUGAGUGCAGUGGCGCGAUCUCAGCUCACUGCAACCUCUGUCUCCCGGGUUCAAGUGAUUCUCCAGCCUUAGCCUCCCAAGUAGCUGGAAUUACAGGCGUGUACCACCACACCAAGCUAAUUUUUGUAUUUUUUAGUAGAGACAGGGUUUCUUCAUGUUGGUCAGGCUGGUCUCAAACUCCUGACCUCAGGUGAUACACCUGCCUCGGCCUCCCAAAGUGAUGGGAUUAUAGGUGUGAGCCACUGCACCCAGCCUUAAUUACCCCUUUAAAGGCCCUAUAUGCAAAUACAGUCACAUUCUGAGCUACUGGGGGUUAGGGCUUCAACAUAGGAAUUCAGGCAGACAUGAUUCAGCCCAUAACAAGGGCUUUCACUUUUUUUUUUUUUGUAGAAACAGGGUCUCACUAUGUUGCCCAGGCUACUCUUGAACUCCUGGGUUCAAGUGAUUCUCCAGCCUCAGCCCCCAGAUUAGCUGGGGCUACAGGUGCACCAGCACGCCCAGCUAAUAUUUUUACUUUCAUUUUUUUUAGACGGAGUUUAGCUAUCUUUGCCCAGGCUAGAGUGCAAUAGCGUGAUCUUGGCUCACCACAACCUCUGCCUUCCGGGUUCAAGAAUUCUCCUGCCUCAGCCUCCCAAGUAGCUGGGAUUACAGGCAUGCACCACCAUGACCGGCUAAUUUUGUAUUUUUAGUAGAGACGGGGUUUCUCCAUGUUGGUCAGGCUGCUCUCGAACUCCCGACCUCAGAUGGUCUGCCCGCCUCAGCUUCCCAAGGUGCUGGGAUUACAGGCGUGAGCCACCGCGCCCGGCCAAUAUUUUUUGUGGAGUCAGGGUCCUACUAUGUUUCCCAGGCUGGUCUUGAACUUCCAGGCUCAAGCGAUCCUCCUGCCUUGGCCUCCUAAAGUACUGUGAUUCCAGGCCUGAGCCACAGCACCCUGCUGGCUUUCACUUUUUACUUUAUUUCUAUGUUGUUAAAAUCUAUUACAAUAAACAUUACUUUUAAAGGAUUUUGUGCACUUCAAUCCAAAUGUCCCUGAAGCAUCUACCUCCCUCCUGGGCCUUCUCUGAAGUCAGAGUAGGGGCAGCUGAAGCCCUCCCUCUGCUGGCUCCAGGAACGAAACCCCCUGGCCCACUAAGGCCCUUCCCCUGGGGAGGGUGGCGUGGGAUAAGAACACUCAGUAUCUGUCUGGCCCUCUCAAGAUCACUGAGGACUUUCCCAGACAGCCGACAUGGUCUUCAGAUCAGUCUGCCAAACGUCACAUAGAGGCUGGGCACGGUGGCUCACGUCUGUAAUCCCAGCACUUUGGGAGGGCAACGUGGGUGGAUCACCUGAAGUCAGGAGUUCGAGACCAGGCUGGCCGACAUUGCAAAACCUCGUCUCUACAAAAAUAUAAAAGUUAGCUGGGCGUGGUGGCACGCGCCUGUAGUCCCAGCUACUCGGGAGGCUGAGGCAGGAGAAUCACUUGAACCUGGGAGGCGGAGGUUGCAGUGGACCAGGAUCGUACCACUGCACUCCAGCCUGGCCAACAGAGUAAGACUCCAUCUCAAAAAAAAAAAAAAAAUCAGGUGGAGGGGCAUCCUCUGUUUUCCAGGCUCCUGGUUUAUAGCUGCAAGCUCUGGACAUUUAAUACCUUGUAAUCCAUCCUUCCCUUAUAUACCUCUCAACAUAAUGACUGUACAAUAUGGCCAAUGAAACGGAUAGUAAAAUGAAACAUAGGCAAGUAAUAAAGUGAGAUAUGAAGACAGUAGUACAACCUGGAUGAGGGUGGAAUGCAAAAUUGUCAUCAGAGAAGACGACAGGAGGACCUGAGAGCUGGAGGGACGGACGCUUAUCUACCCAAAUGAGGCUAUAAAAAGUAGAAAGAUGGCAGGGUAAAAAUGGGGGAGGGCUGCCACUUAAGACUCUCAGGAAACAGUGAUGCAUCAGACUUUAUCAUUAAGUCCCAGGGGAGAGGAGUGGAUCUGGGGAUCCCUUUAGAUAUGGUAGAAUUCUCCUGGGUCCUGCUCUGGUCUUAAAUCUCAGACCAGUAGCAGGAAAACCCUAACUGUACUGUGGUCCUGAAUGUCACUGCAACUUCAGCCCUGCUGUGGUGGUGUAUCUGCUCCUCUGGCUGGCUCUGCCACCUUGAAAGGUGAGACCAUGUGGAGCAGAGCCAAGGGGCCUCAGCUGACAGCCAGCACCAACCAUCAGUCAUGUGAGUGAGACCACCUUGGACCCCCAACCCCAGUUGGGUUGUCAGAUGACUAUAGCUGCAGGUACAAGAGUGACCCAGUGACACCAGCAGAUGAACCGGCUAGCUUAGCUCAGCCCAAACUGCUGACUUAGAACUGUUGUUAUGUUAAGCCAGUACAUUUUCAGUGACUCAUUACAAAGCAGUAGAUAACUGUGACAGUCUAAGAGGAUCUAAGUUUGGAAACAGGAUUGAAUAUUUAAGAUAACUGAUUUGCCAGAUUUAUAAGUUUAUUAGUAUAUAAGAGUUGCUUGGCUGGGCACAGUGGCUCAUGCCUGUAACCCUAACACCUUGGAAGGCUGAAGCAGGAAGAUUGCUUGAGCCCAGGAGUUUGAGACCAGCCUUGGCAACACAGUGAGACCCAAUCUCUUAAAAAAAAAAAAAAAAAAAAAAACUCCGUCUCCCUCUCGCUCUCCGUCUCCCUCUCGCUCUCCCUCUCCCCACGGUCUCCCUCUCAUGCGGAGCCGAAGCUGGACUGUACUGCUGCCAUCUCGGCUCACUGCAUCCUCCCUGCCUGAUUCUCCUGCCUCAGUCUGCCGAGUGCCUGCGAUUGCAGGCACGCGCCGCCACGCCUGACUGGUUUUGGUGGAGACAGGGUUUCGCUGUGUUGGCCGGGCCGGUCUCCAGCCCCUAACCGCGAGUGAUCCGCCAACCUCGGCCUCCCGAG
RNAcentral lists this long non-coding RNA (9533 nucleotides) under Homo sapiens (human). RNAcentral's name for it is "HSALNT0176535". The record is from RNAcentral. Lineage: Eukaryota; Metazoa; Chordata; Mammalia; Primates; Hominidae.